UCUUGCUGGCUUCCAGAGGAUCCUCUUCUAGCAGAUUAUAUGGGGAAGCCAUUAGGAAGUUUUGACUGACCCGAUUUAAGAGAAGCACAUUAGCUCUUUUGUUGGGAAUAGACCCUGGGGGCAAGUAUGGAAUCCCAGCACACAGAGACAGAAUCUUACUGUGUUGCCAGGCUGGCCUAGAACUCCUGGGCUCAAGCAGUUCUCCAGCCUUGACCUCCAAAAUGUUGGGAUUACAGGUGUGAGCCAUGGCGCCCAAAUGACAACAGGAUAUUUAAGCACUGUCUCUGUCAUUUGCUGGUUAAUUGCUUAAUUCUGAUGCAGUUUCUGAAAACUCCACCAGUACUCAAAAUCCUAGAAUAUGUUGUCUUUAAGGAGGUUCAUGAAAGGAUGGAAAAGACCCUGAAAAUCACUCUUGGAUACAGAUUUCUAUUGACUUUAAAAUCAUAUUAUUUGGACUGGGUAAGAAUUCCUGGAACUUUAAUGGAAAGACUGACUGGUUUAUAAAACUGCUAACCCAAGCAGAACAAAAAUUAAUUGAAUACCAAGAUAAUACUUUGCCAGAUUUGUAUGUUAAAUCAGCCAAUACUGAAUUUGUUUAGAUACACAACUUGAAUGAACUCCAUGGCCUAAGUUAAAUUACCUAUGAUAAUCCAUCAGUUACCAGUGCUAUGCACCUGAAUUGGAGAAACAACUGGUAUUCAAGAGGACGUGAGUCCAAUAUUAAGCAUGGACUCCUGAAGAACCAGAACAGCCAUCUUGUCCUUCCUGAGUCUUUAAAGCUUUUGUUAUUAAAAGUUUUGCAUUCCAUGACUCAUCAUGGAAAAAAUAAAAUGAUCCAAAUUAUAUAUAUAUAUAUAUAUGUGUGUGUGUGUGUGUGUGUGUGUGUGUGUGU
This 892-nucleotide long non-coding RNA is filed under the name Homo sapiens (human). RNAcentral's name for it is "HSALNT0378458". The record is from RNAcentral. Lineage: Eukaryota; Metazoa; Chordata; Mammalia; Primates; Hominidae.